AGCCUUGAUGACAAAUUUAAGACCGGAGUAUGAUGGAAUGCAAUGGAAACCAGAGGAUCUCCUAACUUAGACUGGGAAUGCCAGUGCCUCUCUAGAAAAGAUCAUAGAUAUUAAGAGCAACUAGGAAGAUAAUUGUUAUAAUGGAAAGCAUCCUGGACCAGGAAUCAUGGAGAGCUUACGUCUAUUUUUAUCUCUGGCUCUAAGCAAGAAGGACAUGUAUCCUGUAACACUGCUGGUGAGUAAUAAGAAAAGAAGAAGCUAAUACCACCAUCUUUACCAUUUGGGUAUUCCCAAAAUAGCACUUCUUAUUCCAUAGUCUUUUAAUUAAAUUACUAUAAUAAUGAUAAGAUAUGAGUGGAAGGAGCUUACAUCAGAGGUAGAAUAGUAAAAUUCCUACAGCUUCCAUAAAAUGAACAUAAAUGAGGGACAUUUUUGUAUCUUUUGACACAAAUGCUCACCAGUAAAUAUAGAAGGAAUAAUAAGAGUAGAAAAGCCACGAUUUUUCAGCAGCUGUAAUAAUAGUUGAUUCUGGCUAGAACUAUCAAUAGAUGCAGGAUAGUCAUAUAACCUGAAACAUCACUUAACACAGCUCACAUUAAUUACAAAGGGGAGAAGGAAGUUUUACAAUGGAUAAUUGGCAGAUAGUAUCUUAAUGACCAGUCAAGGUAAUAUGACCAAUAAGGGACAAAGUGAUGGCAUGUAUCUUCUGAGGUGAGGCACUGCAAAGGCUAUCAUGUAUGCAACACUACGUGGUACCAUGUCU
Long non-coding RNA from Herpailurus yagouaroundi (jaguarundi), 763 nucleotides. RefSeq lists it as uncharacterized. Lineage: Eukaryota; Metazoa; Chordata; Mammalia; Carnivora; Felidae. The transcript has 3 exons. The record is from RefSeq and is a predicted model, not a curated record.